AUGGCUCAGGAUGAACGCUAGCGAUAGGCCUAACACAUGCAAGUCGAGGGCAGCACAUGAAGUAGCAAUACUGAUGGUGGCGACCGGCGCACGGGUGAGUAACGCGUAUGCAACCUACCUACAACAGGGGAAUAACCCGUUGAAAGACGGACUAAUACCCCAUAAUACAGGGAUCCCGCAUGGGAAUAUUUGUUAAAGAUUUAUCGGUUGUAGAUGGGCAUGCGUUCCAUUAGCUAGUUGGUGAGGUAACGGCUCACCAAGGCAACGAUGGAUAGGGGAACUGAGAGGUUUUAUCCCCCACACUGGUACUGAGACACGGACCAGACUCCUACGGGAGGCAGCAGUGAGGAAUAUUGGUCAAUGGACGCAAGUCUGAACCAGCCAACGUCGCGUGAAGGAAGACGGCCCUACGGGUUGUAAACUUCUUUUGUAAGGGAAUAAAGUGAGCCACGUGUGGCUUUUUGCAUGUACCUUACGAAUAAGGAUCGGCUAACUCCGUGCCAGCAGCUGC
This 511-nucleotide ribosomal RNA is filed under the name uncultured bacterium. Its description in RNAcentral is "bacterial SSU rRNA". It matches the Rfam family "Bacterial small subunit ribosomal RNA", at positions 19 to 518 of the family's 1533-position model. The record is from RNAcentral.